RNAcentral lists this long non-coding RNA (1545 nucleotides) under Homo sapiens (human). RNAcentral's name for it is "HSALNT0140688". Lineage: Eukaryota; Metazoa; Chordata; Mammalia; Primates; Hominidae. The record is from RNAcentral.
GCAAGCUCUGCCUUCUGGGUUCACGCCAUUUUCUUGCCUCAGCCUCUCCGAGUACCUGGGACUACAGGCGCCCGCCACCACGCCCGGCUAAUUUUUUGUGUUUUUAGUAGAGACGGGCUUUCACCGUGGACUCUAUCUCCUGACCUCGUGAUCCGCCCGCAUAGGCCUCCCAAAGUGCUGGGAUUACAAGCGUGAGCAACCGCGCCCGGCCCCCUUCAGGUUUGAUUAACUUAAUGCUCAGUUGGAGGCAUGAAAUACAAGAAGAUGAGCCUUUCCUCAAUCACGGCCUUCUCUUACCUCAUCACUCUCCAAUAAGGGUUAGGGAGUUGGCUCAGAUGUAUAGCUUGAACAGAUAUAGCACUGAACUGAAGAGUACAAUGCCUCUCCUUAUGGGAAUAUGAAUUGUGUGCCUCCAAAAUUCAUAUUAUAGUCCUAACCCCUAGUGCCUUGAAUGUAACUGCAUAUGGAGAAAGAUUUGCCUUUAAAGAAGUAUUAAGGUUAAAUGAGAUAAUAUAGGUAGGCCCUAACCCAGUACGAUUGGUGUCUUUAUAAGAAAAGGUGAUUAGGACACGGACAUACACAGAAGAAAGACCUUGUGAAGACACAAAGGAAGAUGACCACCUACAAAUCAAGGGGCGAGGCUUCAAGAAACCAGCCUUGCUAACACCUUGAUCUUCAACUUCCAAACUCCAGAACUGAGAGGAAAUAGAUUUCCGUUGUUUAUGUCACCCAGUCUGUGGUGCUUUGUUAUGAAGUUUUAGAAAACUAAUGCACUCCCUUAGUUAAAAGAGAACAGCCAGAGGAAGACUUUUUAGAAUGGACUCCCCCAGCCCCAUCCCAGCAUGCGUAGAGGGUGAUUCCAAGCUGCCUGCCAGGAGAGGCAUGCCCAUGGAGGAAGCUCCAAGAGCUGUGUGUACUGGAAACUCACAGGGGCCCUUCAGAGUGGCCAGUGAAGGCUGAAGACAGAUGGUGCUGGGGUCCUUUCAUGUGGUCUUCCCUGAGGCUUUGCAAGCAGUUCCAAUUUGUUUCUUGUAGGCUGAUGCUAAAUUCCGUUCAUUAGCAAGUUUCCCAAUGGCCUAAUUUUAUUGGUUCCUCAGGAGUUCCUCUCUUGCUUUUCAGGCCUCCAGUCAUCUAAAAUGUGGUGUCUUCAGCAAAUUCACUCACCUCAUUAUGUGUGAUCCCUCUUCUAGGCCAUUUAGUCCUUCUCCCAGCUCCUAAUAAAUAAAUACUGAUUCUAAGACCAAAGCCCAAGAGGCCAUACAUUUAAUUGCUUUCCAUGCUGAGAGAGAAUCAUUUAUUAGCGCUGUGCAAAGCACUGUGUUUGAAAACUCCAAACCACAUGAAACGCCACAAGUUUUGAGCCAGAGCCUAACGGAGAAACAGCCAAGUUUCAUCCGAACUUUGUUAGGCCUCAUGACCUUUCACAAAACCUCAAAGCAAACAUAAUUCAGCCCCUGGAUAGGCUCAAACUCUGAGUUGAGUGCUGUCAUUUGUUUGGUUUUGUAGCAGCUGCUUAUAUCACAAAUCCCCACUUCUGGUUAAAAA